GCAUCUGAAGCCUGACGAGGAUGAGAACCUCCGGGGGCAAGAGGUUCGACCCGAGCGAAGCGAGAGAACGUUGCGCCAGCAACGGCCCGCAGUGGCAAGUCAUCCUCUGUCACCGGCAG
Molecule: small RNA, 119 nt
Filed under: Salmonella enterica
Lineage: Bacteria; Pseudomonadati; Pseudomonadota; Gammaproteobacteria; Enterobacterales; Enterobacteriaceae
Also listed under: 4 other names
Description: RtT sRNA
Rfam family: RtT RNA
About the family: This family represents a bacterial cis-regulatory element known as RtT RNA. The exact function of RtT is unknown although it is thought that it may be involved in changing the cellular response in relation to amino acid starvation.
Source: RNAcentral